Bubalus bubalis (water buffalo) is the source of this 1741-nucleotide long non-coding RNA. RefSeq lists it as uncharacterized. The transcript is spliced from 3 exons. The record is from RefSeq and is a predicted model, not a curated record. Lineage: Eukaryota; Metazoa; Chordata; Mammalia; Artiodactyla; Bovidae.
CAGGAUGGUGAGCAGAAGGAGAGCAUGGUGGACUCUUGUUUACGAGCUGGCUGAGCGGGGUACACUGACUAGGAAAGAGCAAAUGUGUUCCCGCUGGCGCCUAGAAGCGACCACACAUUCUCUUCAUAUUCCAAAUGGAAUAGGUGGAAUUCAAUGGCACAGAGGUCGGGGGAGGAACAACACAUUUGCCCUUCUGGAGCCCCUGCUGCUUCGUGUGUACAUCUGAGUGGCUGACUGCCAAUCCAAUUAACUGGCCAAAUGGAGAUCAAUUCUUCUUCACUGAGAAUGGUUUCUUCUUAAAAAAAACACCACCACCACCACCAUAAUCUGUGGAAGAACAUUUUAGCACACGACGUAUGAGUGUUUCAGGGGCUCUGCUGACUUGCACAGGAACAACUGGACUUCAGAAUGGAAAUACUCCAAGCUAAGAAGUCAUCCCAAUGUAGAAAUGGGAAAGAAGUCCGCUCCAAAAAGAAUUCUUUCUUUAAACAGAAAUACAGAAUUAUACAAUUUUCAAGUUACAAAACAAAACUAUCUUAAUAUUUACAUUAACAAAUCUUGUUUAAGUAUGCCAACUUUCAAACUAUUUUGAAACUGGUAUGUUUAUGCUGUAUUUUUGGAAAAAGAAAUCGAUACAGUCUUUAAAACUAGUAAUUUCAAGGUUGCGCAUCUCAAGCAAGGACACUCACUGGAACUUUCCCACAUGAAGCCUAAUUUGGAGUAGUGUAAUCACCCCCUCAGAAGUACAGUGUGAACAAGACAGAGCAAUGACCAUCCACAGGAGGAUGGUGGGAAUGGAGCCAAGAGCACCACCAGGAUGAGGAAGAGACUGAGGUCCCAAAUGCUGGUCUGAGCGCAGCCCAGAGCCAGGCGCGCUCACUGCCUUACCUGGCUUCUGUAUCACUGCGUUGCAAGCAUUUGCAAUUUCUUCUCUCUUUGCUUCAUCUGGGUAUUGAUUCUCAUUGAAGUAACUGCAGAGGCAAUCAAUUAAGACACAAAGUUUGUACUUUUAGAAAUGUGCUCUCCUUAACACACAGGCUCACUGAAAAAGAUGUCCUUUUCUAGGAUGUAACAUUAAUGUCUAGUCCAGGCUGUCUGAUGGAAUUUCCUAUGAGGAUAGAAACAGUCUGUCCAACCGGGCAGCCACUACUCACAUGUGGCUGCUGAGCACCUGAAAUGACGCUGAUGUGAUGGAGGAAGUGGAUUUUUGAUUUUAGUAAAUUUAAACAGUUACAUGUGACUGGUGGCUACUAUAUUGGAUAGGACAGGUUUAGCCACUGCUCGGCUUCGAUAAAAGAUGUACUGGAUACUGAAAUCACAGACUUCUGCUCCAGAGGCACUGGUGAUGACAGGACUCUUUCGCGUCUUGUUUGUGGUAGCAAAACUCGGAGAUUACCCAACUGUCCAUCAAUAGGAGAAUGACAGAGCAAAUUAUGAGACAUCUGUAUUUACACACAGCUAUUUAAAAAGGACUAGAAAAAACUAUUCACUGGCCUGGGGAGAUGUUCUUGACAUGGUCCUAAGUGGAAAAAAAAAAACCCAAUCUGUAGAAUAAUGUGCAUGUAAAAGUACUGUUAAGAAAUUUUUAAAAUUCCUGUCUAACUUAGAGAAUGAACUUAUGGUUGCCAGGGACAAAGAGUGGGGGAAGGGAUAGUUAGGAAGUUUGAGAUGGACCUCUACACACUGCUGUUUUUAAAAUGGAUAAUCAACAAGGACCUACUGUAUAGCACAGGGGACUCUG